GGCGGACUUACGUAGUGCUUAUCUGCUUUUUGCUUACACAUGUGGUUUUCUUUUUUUUGAAAACUUUGCUUUGGUAGGCCUUCUAUAUGGGGCCUGCCAGAGAUUAAACUCAACCGAAUUUUAUUUAAUGUCAACCGAUUAUUUAAUAGUCAAAACUUUCAACAACGGAUCUCUUGGUUCUCGCAUCGAUGAAGAACGCAGCGAAAUGCGAUAAGUAAUAUGAAUUGCAGAUAUUCGUGAAUCAUCGAAUCUUUGAACGCACAUUGCGCCCUUUGGUAUUCCAAAGGGCAUGCCUGUUUGAGCGUCAUUUCUCCCUCAAACCCUCGGGUUUGGUGUUGAGCGAUACGCUGGGUUUGCUUGAAAGAAAGGCGGAGUAUAAACUAAUGGAUAGGUUUUUUCCACUCAUUGGUACAAACUCCAAAACUUCUUCCAAAUUCGACCUCAAAUCAGGUAGGACUACCCGCUGAACUUAAGCAUAUCAGUAAGCGGAGGAAAAGAAAACCAA
RNAcentral lists this ribosomal RNA (505 nucleotides) under [Candida] sp. VVT-2012. RNAcentral's name for it is "eukaryotic LSU rRNA". The stretch from base 154 to 307 matches the Rfam family "5.8S ribosomal RNA". Lineage: Eukaryota; Fungi; Ascomycota; Saccharomycetes; Saccharomycetales. The record is from RNAcentral.